AGUGAAGCGGCAACAGCUCAAAUUUGAAAUCUGGCCCUCGUGGUCCGAGUUGUAAUUUGUAGAGGAUGCUUUUGGUGAGGUGCCUUCCGAGUUCCCUGGAACGGGACGCCAUAGAGGGUGAGAGCCCCGUCUGGUUGGACACCGAGCCUCUGUAAAGCUCCUUCGACGAGUCGAGUAGUUUGGGAAUGCUGCUCAAAAUGGGAGGUAUAUGUCUUCUAAAGCUAAAUAUUGGCCAGAGACCGAUAGCGCACAAGUAGAGUGAUCGAAAGAUGAAAAGCACUUUGAAAAGAGGGUUAAAUAGUACGUGAAAUUGUUGAAAGGGAAGCGUUUGUGACCAGACUUGGGCUCGGUUAAUCAUCCAGCGUUCUCGCUGGUGCACUUUGCCAGCCCAGGCCAGCAUCAGUUUGCUGCGGGGGAUAAAAGUUUCGGGAAUGUGGCUCCUCGGAGUGUUAUAGCCCGUUGCACAAUACCCUGUGGUGGACUGAGGUUCGCGCAUCUGCAAGGAUGCUGGCGUAAUGGUCAUCAACGACCCGUCUUGAAACACGGACCAAGGAGUCGUCUUCGUAUGCGAGUGUUCGGGUGUCAAACCCCUACGCGUAAUGAAAGUGAACGGAGGUGAGAGCUACGGCGCAUCAUCGACCGAUCCUGAAGUUUUCGGAUGGAUUUGAGUAAGAGCAUACGGGGCCGGACCCGAAAGAAGGUGAACUAUGCCUGUAUAGGGUGAAGCCAGAGGAAACUCUGGUGGAGGCUCGCAGCGGUUCUGACGUGCAAAUCGAUCGUCAAAUAUGGGCAUGGGGGCGAAAGACUA
This 808-nucleotide ribosomal RNA is filed under the name Thyronectria berolinensis. RNAcentral's name for it is "eukaryotic LSU rRNA". It matches the Rfam family "Eukaryotic large subunit ribosomal RNA", at positions 92 to 933 of the family's 3401-position model. The record is from RNAcentral. Lineage: Eukaryota; Fungi; Ascomycota; Sordariomycetes; Hypocreales; Nectriaceae.